This 479-nucleotide ribosomal RNA is filed under the name uncultured bacterium. RNAcentral describes it as "bacterial SSU rRNA". It matches the Rfam family "Bacterial small subunit ribosomal RNA", at positions 15 to 507 of the family's 1533-position model. The record is from RNAcentral.
GAUCCGUGGCUCAAGGACACGCUGGCGGCGUGCUUAACACAUGCAAGUCGAACGGUGACCCAGGGCUUGCCCUGGUGAUCAGUGGCGAACGGGUGAGUAACACGUGGGCAACCUGCCCCUGACUUCGGGAUAACUCCUCGAAAGAGGAGCUAAUACCAGAUACGACCACUUCGGACAUCCGAUGGUGGUGGAAAGUUUUUCGGUCAGGGAUGGGCCCGCGGCCUAUCAGCUAGUUGGUGGGGUAAUGGCCUACCAAGGCGACGACGGGUAGCCGGCCUGAGAGGGCGACCGGCCACACUGGGACUGAGACACGGCCCAGACUCCUACGGGAGGCAGCAGUGGGGAAUAUUGCGCAAUGGGCGAAAGCCUGACGCAGCGACGCCGCGUGAGGGAUGAAGGCCUUCGGGUUGUAAACCUCUUUCAGCAGGGACGAAGCGAAAGUGACGGUACCUGCAGAAGAAGCACCGGCUAACUACGUG